This 1674-nucleotide unclassified non-coding RNA is filed under the name Hevea brasiliensis (rubber tree). The record is from RNAcentral. Lineage: Eukaryota; Viridiplantae; Streptophyta; Magnoliopsida; Malpighiales; Euphorbiaceae.
AAUAACAAAGAGUGAUAUAAUUAUAAGGUUACUAAGAUCAUUAUUAGGAAAAGGAGAAUCACCAUUAUCAAGAACCCUAACAGGUUCACAUAGCAUGGUGCCACCAACUUGAGAAUCAACUCUGCAUUAUAAUGUUGAUUCAGGCAAUAGAAUACCAUACAACAUAUCAUGAAAACAACCCUCUAAACAAAGUGCUAAUAUAGCCAUUUACAAAUUCAGUCUUUUCACCAUCCAUGUUCUCUCUCUUUCAAAUUUUGAAACUUACCUCACCUCAAUAGCUAUGCUGCUGGACUCUGGUGCUGCUUUCUAGUUCUACUCUCUCUUGCUGUUGAUUUUUGUUGUCUGGGGAAAAUCUUGAUUAUGCUGUGCUGCCUUUAACCCCUGCUGCUGGAUUUGUAGUGUAGUUCAUGCACUAUCCGUUUAUCACUUCAACAUCCACCCCACACGGCUGAAAUCUAGUCUUUUGUAUCAUCCUGCAACGACUCAAAGCUUCCAGUCUCUCACUGCCAUCGGCCACUACUCGUGAAUCAAAAACUCACCGGAACUCCUCAAGAGGUUUUGAAUUUUGGAAUUUGAUGCGAGCACAUUUCAACUCCUUCACACCAUCCACCCACCUCAAGUUUGUAUACCUGGUCAAUCGAGCUGGCUGCUCAUCAUCAUCGUCAUCCACCUUUUUGUCAUCCUGUAUAGUCUGCGAAGCUGGGGCACCUCUAGAACAUUGUUCACAAGUACAAAGCGCCUCCUGGCUACGGAAGAAUGUUAUGUUGGACUGGUCAAGAAAACCUUGUUUUAUAACUCCCAACAAGUUCCUUGAUGAGGUGAUGACUAAACUAUCAGGCUGGAAUUUUCAUUUCACUCAGAAAUGCAUGGUUUCUGCUCCCCAGUAUCCUCUGUUGAUUUAUCAUCAGAACUUUGGUUUUGAAGGCCAGCAGUCUUAACCUCCUGAAGUGACUCCUCGGGAAUGAUUAUCUGUGAUGAUCCGCCUGACCGACUAGAAACACUUGCGGGCGAAACAGAUCCUAUAUUUUGAGGACUAAUAGAAGCACGUUUCGGCAGUUUGUCGGACUCUACAUCAACUGUAUGGGUUUCCUGCUUCCUCUUUGAACGCCUUCCUUCAGAAGACAUGCAACCUUUGGCAUCUUUCUCGGGAGUAUGCUGAGUUGUAUUUCUAGAUUGACGUGGUCUCUUAUACCCAUCAGGAAAGACAUAAGCAGGAAUUUCCCUCCUAGGAACAUGCGAGAUAUAGAUAUCCAUGCCCGGUCUCCAAUAAGAGUACAUGUUUACCUCUUGCUUAAACUCAUCGACUGUUCCGCGGAUAUCAAACCGUUGACCUUCUUGUACUUUGACACCCUUUUGCCUCUGCAAACCCAUGAAAAAAACACAAUGCGGGCAUGGCUUUGACAUGUCCGCAAAUUCAUUAGGAUAAGGAUGGCACUGCAACGUCCCAUUGGUGUCCCGCUCUAUCUUUAGCGUGAGUUGUCGAAGCCGUGAUUCCACCCAGCCUUUCCAAGCUAGCAAAUCAUCAUUAUCUGCUGCUACGAUUUCAACCUGGAGAUAGUUUUUGUACGCCUCAAAGAAAAAAUAAUGCUCAAAAAGAGCAGGCCACUGUGAUUUAUUCAACUCCACAUCCUCAGAAAUCUUGUUACCAAUCUGAAAUUGGUCCAUCAUUACUCG